RNAcentral lists this transfer RNA (82 nucleotides) under Daphnia magna. RNAcentral's name for it is "tRNA-Ser". It matches the Rfam family "tRNA". From Rfam's summary of the family: Transfer RNA (tRNA) molecules are approximately 80 nucleotides in length. Their secondary structure includes four short double-helical elements and three loops (D, anti-codon, and T loops). Further hydrogen bonds mediate the characteristic L-shaped molecular structure. tRNAs have two regions of fundamental functional importance: the anti-codon, which is responsible for specific mRNA codon recognition, and the 3' end, to which the tRNAs corresponding amino acid is attached (by aminoacyl-tRNA synthetases). tRNAs cope with the degeneracy of the genetic code in two manners: having more than one tRNA (with a specific anti-codon) for a particular amino acid; and 'wobble' base-pairing, i.e. permitting non-standard base-pairing at the 3rd anti-codon position. Lineage: Eukaryota; Metazoa; Arthropoda; Branchiopoda; Diplostraca; Daphniidae. The record is from RNAcentral.
GCAGAUGUGGCCGAGUGGUUAAGGCGACCGACUCGAAAUCAGUUUCCAUCUUGGAGCGUAGGUUCGAAUCCUACCAUCUGCG